GACGAACGCUGGCGGCGUGCCUAAUACAUGCAAGUAGAACGCUGAAGAGAGGAGCUUGCUCUUCUUGGAUGAGUUGCGAACGGGUGAGUAACGCGUAGGUAACCUGCCUUGUAGCGGGGGAUAACUAUUGGAAACGAUAGCUAAUACCGCAUAACAAUGGAUGACACAUGUCAUUUAUUUGAAAGGGGCAAUUGUUCCACUACAAGAUGGACCUGCGUUGUAUUAGCUAGUAGGUGAGGUAAUGGCUCACCUAGGCGACGAUACAUAGCCGACCUGAGAGGGUGAUCGGCCACACUGGGACUGAGACACGGCCCAGACUCCUACGGGAGGCAGCAGGAGGGAAUCUUCGGCAAUGGGGGCAACCCUGACCGAGCAACGCCGCGUGAGUGAAGAAGGUUUUCGGAUCGUAAAGCUCUGUUGUAAGUCAAGAACGGGUGUGAGAGUGGAAAGUUCACACUGUGACGGUAGCUUACCAGAAAGGGACGGCUAACUACGUG
RNAcentral lists this ribosomal RNA (497 nucleotides) under uncultured bacterium. Its description in RNAcentral is "partial 16S ribosomal RNA". It matches the Rfam family "Bacterial small subunit ribosomal RNA", at positions 28 to 507 of the family's 1533-position model. The record is from RNAcentral.